AACGCGAAGAACCUUACCUGGGCUCGAAAUGUAGUGGAAUGGGGUGGAAACAUCCCCGUCUCGCAAGAGACUGCUAUAUAGGUGCUGCAUGGCUGUCGUCAGCUCGUGUCGUGAGAUGUUGGGUUAAGUCCCGCAACGAGCGCAACCCUUAUCCCUAGUUGCCAUCGGGUCAAGCCGGGCACUCUAGUGAAACCGCCCAGGAUAACCUGGAGGAAGGUGGGGAUGACGUCAAGUCCUCAUGGCCUUUAUGUCCAGGGCUACACACGUGCUACAAUGGACGGUACAAAGGGCUGCCAACCCGCGAGGGGGAGCCAAUCCCAAAAAACCGUUCUCAGUUCGGAUUGCAGGCUGCAACUCGCCUGCAUGAAGCUGGAAUCGCUAGUAAUGGCGGAUCAGAACGCCGCCGUGAAUACGUUCCCGGGCCUUGUACACACCGAGACGUA
RNAcentral lists this ribosomal RNA (443 nucleotides) under uncultured bacterium. Its description in RNAcentral is "bacterial SSU rRNA". It matches the Rfam family "Bacterial small subunit ribosomal RNA", at positions 958 to 1398 of the family's 1533-position model. The record is from RNAcentral.